RNAcentral lists this ribosomal RNA (81 nucleotides) under Salmonella enterica subsp. enterica serovar Typhimurium str. DT104. Lineage: Bacteria; Pseudomonadati; Pseudomonadota; Gammaproteobacteria; Enterobacterales; Enterobacteriaceae. The record is from RNAcentral.
UGGCGGCCGUAGCGCGGUGGUCCCACCUGACCCCAUGCCGAACUCAGAAGUGAAACGCCGUAGCGCCGAUGGUAGUGUGGG